GACGAACGCUGGCGGCGUGCUUAACACAUGCAAGUCGUACGGUAAGGCCCUUUCGGGGGUACACGAGUGGCGAACGGGUGAGUAACACGUGAGUAACCUGCCCACAACAUUGGGAUAAAGCUAGGAAACUGGUGCUAAUACUGGAGAUGUGCUCCUGCUGCAUGGUGGGGGUUGGGAAGAUCCGGCUGUUGUGGAUGGACUCGCGGCCUAUCAGCUUGGUGGUGGGGUAGUGGCCUACCAAGGCGGCGACGGGUAGCCGGGCUGGGAGGGUGACCGGCCACAUUGGGACUUGGAAACGGCCCAGACUCCUACGGGAGGCAGCAGUUGGGAAUAUUUCACAAUGGGCGCAAGCCUGAUGCAGCAACGCCGCGGGCGGGAUGACGGCCUUCGGGUUGUAAACCGCUUUCAGCAGGGACGAAACUUUUUGUGACGGUACCUGCAGAAGAAGCACCGGCUAACUACGUG
This 465-nucleotide ribosomal RNA is filed under the name uncultured bacterium. RNAcentral describes it as "partial 16S ribosomal RNA". It matches the Rfam family "Bacterial small subunit ribosomal RNA", at positions 28 to 507 of the family's 1533-position model. The record is from RNAcentral.